RNAcentral lists this long non-coding RNA (3698 nucleotides) under Ursus thibetanus thibetanus. RNAcentral's name for it is "lncRNA (ENSUTTG00000009888.1)". Lineage: Eukaryota; Metazoa; Chordata; Mammalia; Carnivora; Ursidae. The record is from RNAcentral.
GACUUGCACCCCCCCGCAUUGUGUAGGUCUCCUUGUGAAGGUCAUGGAGUUAGUGCCUUCUUUGGAGUCUUCCGAAGAUAACUUCCAACAGAUAACUAAGGAGGGACCGGGCAGGGUCAUCACAAAGUUCUCCAAGACCCCUGGCUGACGCGUCAGGGCCCCACGCUCCAGGCUGCUGUGACUUCAUGGAGGACAGCUGAACACGGGCCUUUGUUCUCGGGUUACUGAGAAGACGUGCUCCAGACCACCGUCCUCAGGAAACACCCCAGGUCCCAAGCAAAGAUGAGGCUCAGUCUGGGCUCCUUUCCGAGCCUCUCUUCCUAUCUGCGCUGUGUCCUUACGAACUCUGCGGGCGCUUCCUCAUGCCUCCAGUUUGGUUUCUGUCCUGCACGAAAGGGGCCGCUCGCCAGGUCCCGCGUCCUCAGACCCAGUCAGCCUGCGUCAUUGGCGGAGGGGAGAAGCCCUGCUUCCCAGCUCCCAGCUCCCAGCUUCAGGCCUCCCAAGGAAUGUAUGACCAGCGCAGAGCACACGAUGAAGAGAAGGCCGCUCACAGAAGUGGCAGAAAUCUCAGGAGCGCGCAGCCCCCGCCCCCACGGCUCUGGGGGUUUCACGGGGCACAUCCUGGCGAGGCCUCGGCCCCUACACCCGGUGAGGUGGCGAAGGCAGGGAUGGCCUCCCCCACGAGGCCGGAAGCCCAGGCUGGAGGGCAGUGGUAUCCAGAAUUCAGAUGGCUGUGCUGUACGGGGCUUGGGUCCAGGCUGCGCUCCUCCAUCCACACUGUGCUGCCGUACUGUCCUGGGUGGAAAGCAGAGGCCUGGGCAUAAAGUGCAGAUGAGCUGUGGGCAAAGGGAGGGAGGAGGGCCUGCGUGUAGAAGGUGGGAGGGAGGGGGAGGAGGGGGCAGCUCCUUCGGCAACCUAGCCCCCAGGAGUGGGAGGGGAGGCACAGGGAGGUGGGAGGUCCUGGAAGGGACCCGAGGGGGUGUGUGGGGCAGGCUGAUGAGACGCAGAGCUCCGGGGCUUCAGCCCACCCUGACCUGUCCCUGCGGCUGGUCUGUGUCCCGGGGGAGCUUACGUCCCAGUCCCCGUUCUUGGAGCAUUUUAUUGAAGUCUGGUUUGUGUAUUAGGCAGUCAGUGAGGGGCUGCAGGGGAAGCCAGGUGAGGUGCCUGUGAGGAGGGACGACGGAGCAGGAGAGCGUGGGGCUUAAGAAGGCCCCUUAACCUCUCUGACCCAGAGUAAAUGUGCCGGGAGCCCCAGGAACGCCAACAUUGCUUCUUCUGGGCAGUACUUGAUAAAUAUGGCAACCCCAGAGCCCUGGGGUUCAGUGGGGUGGAGAUGGGCGUUCUCCAGGUAAGGGUGGUGGGCAGGGGCAUUCCAAACCCAGAGUGGUGGGACCCGCAGGUGUGCCAGGAAGGAGCUGGGGGGGGGUCUGUCCUUCGGGGUCUGCUCUUCCCCUCUAGGUUCCUUACUACCCCCAUCUUCCCUCACCCCCCACCAUGGUCUUGGCGUCAUCACCAGCCCAGGGGUCCUGGGGAGCUGGGUCUGACCGAGCAGGGGGAUCGAUGAAGAAGAGGUGGGGGAGGGGCACACGUGGGAGGAGGGGCAGGAGUGUACCAAUAGCUGGAGUGCAAGGCGGGUGUGCUGAGUGCUCUGGGACUCAGCAGGAAAGCUCCUCUCCUGCAUGAGUCCCCGAGUCCCCGUGGGGGACAGGACAGACAUCCUGGAGGGAGACUGGUUGCAGAUGGGCCGAGGCCAUUCCGAUUGGGCCUCAGAGAGGAGCCAAGUGGGCUGUGUAUCAGUGGGGAACCCUCGGCUGAGGGCAGGCAGAGAGCGAGAGAAGUUUUGGAGACACCAGCGUGGAUGCUGAGAGCAGCGGCAGCUCCUGUCACAGAGCCUUCUCACCGGCUCCUUGGGCGCACGCCCUUCGUCGCACAGCCACUGUCCCAGACAGGGAGCUCCGGUAUCUUCAGUUCACAGAUGGGCAAACCGAAAGCACAGAGACGUUCAUAACUUCCCUGAGGCCACACAGCUGGUCAGUGGUGAAGCCAGCCUGGGCAAGAAGGCGGCCUGGCUGGAGAGCCCUGCCCUAGCAGGGUACCUCUCCGGCCAGCGGUCCGCCACCCACUCCAAGAAAGGGACCGUGAGAGCUGGACUCUGCGCAGGCCACUGGCGACACCGACACGUAAAGCAGGUCUGGAAGCGAUCUCUACAGAUGCAGCAGCUGUGCGGGUGUGGGGGCACGAGGGGGCUUCAGCCUUAGGAGCCCAGGCAGGGGCAGGGAGCAGAGCCUGCAGAUGGAAUCCUCCUGCUGGUGCUGCACCUGGGACCCCUCGUGCAGAGGGAGGACUCAGAGGUGGGGGGACUGGGACGGUCAUUUCCUGCCAGGCUGUUCCCAUGGUCUUGCCUAUAGCUCUGUGCUCCAUGCACCCUGGUCCCUGCCUAUCCCCCAAGUCAGGUUCCCUGCCUUUCCAUCUAUUGUAGAAAUUCUGAAUUUCCUUCCAAUAAAACCUUUUCUGUUUUAAGUGGCCUAGACUCAGUUUCUAUCACUGGAAGCCAGGGGCUGGCUGGCAGAAUGGUCAGUGAUGGUGGCAAGAUCCAGGCCUGGGAGGCUGGAAGGGUCAGUUGCAGACUUGUCCCCGGGGGAAGGACAGGAGCUGUCCUUGGGCAGGUUAGCUGUAAAGUGCUUGGGGAAUGGGUUGAGAUAUUGCAUGUUUGGGGCUGGGCCCGGGACAUGCUCUGAGCGAGCAGCAUGGAGAUGGAGCAGGGAAAGGGGUUUGAGGCCCUGGAACCCAUAUGAGAGAGGGUGGAGAGCUGGCUUGUAACCAGUGCCUGCAAGGACCAAGCAGGAAUCGGGAGGGAAAUCUGGAUGGAGAAAUGUGGGCCCAGUUGUAGAUAAAGAGGAGAGAGCUCGUGCAGGGAGCCUGGAGAUGCACAGGGGAAACUGUGGGAACACAUGGGGGUGGGGUGCAGGGCAGAGGGUGGGAGUCCAGGCUGGUGAGGGGCACAGCAGGGGUUUCAGAGGGGAGGCGUGAGGGGGCUGGAGCAGGGUUGGCAGGAACUACCUGCUCCCAGGCCUCCCUUGGGCUGGAGCUGGGGCUUUGGAGACAGAGUGCAGGCAUUUAGACGCCAGGUCUGAAGCUUCACUGGGUCACUCACUGGGAUGUGACCCUGGGCAAAGCACAUCGGGCCUCAGUUUCCUCAUUUAUGAGCUAUCCAAGGGAUCACGGUGAUGGUACCUAGAAAGUGGGCGUGUCUGCACCAUGAGAAGACCUUGGGAUUAGCUGUCAUGACGGGAAUUAUGAUGACUUUUAUUGCACAGCGACAGUCAUGGAAUCCAGUCCCGGGCUCCUGUUCCUACCUCCGGCCCCUGGCAAAGUCCUCCUCAGACAUUGCUGAUGGUCCCGCCGGGUAUGUCAGGUUGUGCGGGUGGGGAGCGGGCAGCACGGAGCUCCCUGUCCUCCCCGUCGCCCCUGCGGGGGUCCUCUGUGUCAGUGCAUCCCGGCAUCCUUGGCAGCUGUUCUGCAGCUGGACUGAGGACAGGCUUGCCGUGUUGUCACCGUGCUAUCCCGCAGGCAUUUCCAGUCCUGUCUGGGGUUGAGGGCUUUGCUGCCGAGCUCUGGGGGAGCUCCCUCGGCCCCUCCGGCAAGGACACUCCUGUGAGGGGUCUCCUCCUGGCUGCUUGCUGAUUUUCUUCCCUGAC